This 197-nucleotide ribosomal RNA is filed under the name uncultured bacterium. RNAcentral describes it as "partial 16S ribosomal RNA". It matches the Rfam family "Bacterial small subunit ribosomal RNA", at positions 335 to 524 of the family's 1533-position model. The record is from RNAcentral.
ACUCCUACGGGAGGCAGCAGUGGGGAAUAUUGGACAAUGGGCGAAAGCCUGAUCCAGCCAUACCGCGUGGGUGAAGAAGGCCUUCGGGUUGUAAAGCCCUUUUGUUGGGAAAGAAAUCCAGCCGGCUAAUACCUGGUUGGGAUGACGGUACCCAAAGAAUAAGCACCGGCUAACUUCGUGCCAGCAGCCGCGGUAAU